UAAAUUUUUUUGGAUUGACCUAUUUCAAUAACUUGAGAACGGUGUUUUCUUCUCUUUUACGCUCUCUUCCUUUGAAGAGAAAAAACUGUUCACGACAAUAUGAGAGGAUGAAUUUGCAAGAUGGGGUUUGUUCUUUUGCGUUGAUUUAUGCUGAUUAGCAAAGAAAAGAAUCAGUUGAUUUGCAUAAUAUCACUGUUGAACCCAUCUCGCUAAUUUGAGAGGAUAUGCGCUGAUUUAGUAUAAAAUGACUCAUGUGCCCCUGUACGAAAAAUUAAAUUCCAAGGAAAGGACUGUGUUGAUGAUGACGGGAGGAGGAAGACUGUCGCGUGCAUGGGAGGACCAAGAACGGAGUUGAUGCACGGGAGGAGGAAGACAGUCGUGCACGAUGUUCAUGAUGAUGACGGAGUGGAGGCACAUGAGGAAGAAUGAAGAGGUGAAGAAGCACGUUAUCCGGUUCAAAUAAGAGGGUAUCCGAUUCCACCACAGUGAAAGACUUACAAAGGAGACGUAUCCGGAUACAAGAUUUGCGUAUCCGGAUCCAGCUUCUCAAAUAUUUUCAAUUGCAAACGUAUCCGGAUCCAGACUUGGCUUAUCCGGAUCCACCUUAUCAAAUAUUUUCAAUUACAAACCAAUAUUACAUUUAAAAAUAAUGUUUUU
RNAcentral lists this long non-coding RNA (657 nucleotides) under Vigna radiata. Its description in RNAcentral is "long non-coding RNA (VRAD_LNC009172)". The record is from RNAcentral. Lineage: Eukaryota; Viridiplantae; Streptophyta; Magnoliopsida; Fabales; Fabaceae.